UACGUAGGGUGCAAGCGUUAAUCGGAAUUACUGGGCGUAAAGCGUGCGCAGGCGGUUUGGUAAGACAGAUGUGAAAUCCCCGGGCUCAACCUGGGAAUUGCAUUUGUGACUGCCCCGACUAGAGUGUGUCAGAGGGGGGUAGAAUUCCACGUGUAGCAGUGAAAUGCGUAGAGAUGUGGAGGAAUACCGAUGGCGAAGGCAGCCCCCUGGGAUAACACUGACGCUCAUGCACGAA
RNAcentral lists this ribosomal RNA (235 nucleotides) under uncultured bacterium. RNAcentral describes it as "partial 16S ribosomal RNA". It matches the Rfam family "Bacterial small subunit ribosomal RNA", at positions 524 to 757 of the family's 1533-position model. The record is from RNAcentral.